GUGCUUGCUUUGGCAGCACAUAUACUAAAAUUAUAAUGAUACAGAGAUUAGCAUGGCCCCUGCACAAGGAUGACGCGCAAAUUCGUGAAGUGUUCCAUAUUUAA
This is a small nuclear RNA of Cynocephalus volans (Philippine flying lemur), 104 nucleotides long. The record is from RefSeq and is a predicted model, not a curated record. Lineage: Eukaryota; Metazoa; Chordata; Mammalia; Dermoptera; Cynocephalidae.